GCCGAAGUGAUGGAAUGGUAGACAUGCACGACUCAAAAUCGUGUGAGGCAACUCAUGAGGGUUCAAGUCCCUCCUUCGGCA
Molecule: transfer RNA, 81 nt
Filed under: Candidatus Moraniibacteriota bacterium
Lineage: Bacteria; Candidatus Moraniibacteriota
Description: Candidatus Moranbacteria bacterium tRNA-Leu
Rfam family: tRNA
About the family: Transfer RNA (tRNA) molecules are approximately 80 nucleotides in length.
Source: RNAcentral